AGCUUUAUAGUCAAAAAUGAUAUGAAAUUGCAAAUUUUAAGGAGUAAUUAUAUACUAAGGCUU
RNAcentral lists this transfer RNA (63 nucleotides) under Hyphantria cunea (fall webworm moth). Its description in RNAcentral is "tRNA-Cys". Lineage: Eukaryota; Metazoa; Arthropoda; Insecta; Lepidoptera; Erebidae. The record is from RNAcentral.